GACGGCGGGGUGACGGCCCACCGUGGCGACGAUGCGUAGGGGUUCUGAGAGGAAGGCCCCCCACACUGGGACUGAGACACGGCCCAGACUCCUACGGGAGGCAGCAGUGAGGAAUAUUGGUCAAUGGGCGGAAGCCUGAACCAGCCAAGUCGCGUGAGGGAUUAAGGCCCUGCGGGUCGUAAACCUCUUUUGCCGGGGAGCAGUGGUCCGGACGCGUCCGGGCCGGGAGAGUACCCGGAGAAAAAGCAUCGGCUAACUCCGUGCCAGCAGCCGCGGUAAUACGGAGGAUGCGAGCGUUAUCCGGGUUUAUUGGGUUUAAAGGGUGCGUAGGCGGGCAUUUAAGCCGGCGGUCAAAUGUCGGGGCUCAACCCCGGCCUGCCGUCGGAACUGGGUGCCUUGAGUGGGCGAGAAGUAUGCGGAAUGCGUGGUGUAGCGGUGAAAUGCAUAGAUAUCACGCAGAACCCCGAUUGCGAAGGCAGCAUACCGGCGCCCGACUGACGCUGAGGCACGAAAGUGCGGGUAUCGAACAGGAUUAGAUACCCUGGUAGUCCGCACAGUAAACGAU
RNAcentral lists this ribosomal RNA (565 nucleotides) under uncultured bacterium. Its description in RNAcentral is "bacterial SSU rRNA". It matches the Rfam family "Bacterial small subunit ribosomal RNA", at positions 248 to 810 of the family's 1533-position model. The record is from RNAcentral.